CUCCUCCAUAGUCGAUGGGGGCACUUCACUUGUCCUGGGGCGGCAGCAGCACGGACAUGCACAACUGAUUUCAAUUAGUACACACGAAGUAUGAUCAACGAUUCCGCAAAGAUAUUAAUUCCAGUGUAGUGUUCAAACGAUCAAAUGGAUGAGAUGAUCAACGAUGGCUCAGAUUAAAAAACUAGAAGGUACAGUUACAACUUAACAGAUCUGUGCACUCGGAGUUUGAGAAGACUAUAUAUAUAGCAUCCGCAUCACCAGGACACUCGAUACUGUAAUUAGUAGGCAGUUACAAGUUAAUAGAACAUAUGCUGCGAGUAGAAGAAUUGAAUCAAUAAUCAGUUUUAUCAUACAAUCAAGUUUGAAUCUGUAUUCCUAUAGCCCUAUAGCAGCAUUUAACAAGAAAUGUGGAGAACAAAGCAAGUGAAAAUAAAAAAAUUCCGUUUUGUUGUGGGCAGAUGAGCAGGGAUCAUAUGGUGCGAAAGCCGAAAUGGCCAAGAGUCUUUGAAUGGCAUUAGUGGCAGCAGAUUCACCGAAUUACUAGACAAGCAGAAAAACGUUUACCUGGAGACAUUUUAGGCGUGGGAGGUGAGUCAGGUGUGAAAUGCAUCUCACGAAGCGACUUGAGCCCUGUUUCAAAUGGGGGGAAACAAAUAAAUGAAAAAAUAAAAUUGGUACAUUCAAAAGAACUGCUCAACUGAUCAGUAAUCAUGACUAACCAUAGCAAAAAAGCACAGUAAUAAUAUCCCUAAGAGUAGCAUCCAGAGCUCGCUGGUAAUCCGCAUCUACCACCAACCAUCACCAAUGUAGCUUCACAAGGACUCACAAGAACAAGGAUAGGAGCGCAUAAACUUAUUUUGUAACUUGUUCGGUGAUCAAGAACACGCGCAUAGGGAGCACAAGAAUCGAUCCAAGCAUAUACUCGCCAUCAAGAAGGGACAAGUUUCUCCCCCCGGCCCUACUCCCCAACCAACCCACCGAACUAACUCCAUACGUUCAUCAUCAUACAUUGCGUACCGUGCAUUUUUCCUCUUCCUUCCAUACUGUGCACGAGGCCUUUGGCUACUCAAUUUAUUUUCUUUUGCUGCUUC
Molecule: long non-coding RNA, 1091 nt
Filed under: Triticum aestivum (bread wheat)
Lineage: Eukaryota; Viridiplantae; Streptophyta; Magnoliopsida; Poales; Poaceae
Description: long non-coding RNA (TAES_LNC000576)
Source: RNAcentral